UUACGGCCAUAUUACGUUGAAUCACUGGUUGACGUACGAUCACGGAAGUUAAGCAACGUCGAGACUGGUUAGUAUUUAGAUGAGUGACUUGGGAAUGCCAGUUGCUGUAA
Non-coding RNA from Acanthosepion pharaonis, 110 nucleotides. The record is from the annotation of a GenBank genome assembly. Lineage: Eukaryota; Metazoa; Mollusca; Cephalopoda; Sepiida; Sepiidae.